Molecule: ribosomal RNA, 677 nt
Filed under: uncultured archaeon
Lineage: Archaea
Description: bacterial SSU rRNA
Rfam family: Archaeal small subunit ribosomal RNA
Source: RNAcentral
AGUCAACAUAACCAGAGGACGUGGAUAAACUCGGGAAACUGAGGCUAAACCGCGAUAGACCAAGAUACCUGGAAUGGUCUUUGAUCAAAAUCUAUAUGGCCUUUGGAUUGGACUGCGACCGAUCAGGCUGUUGGUGAGGUAAUGGCCCACCAAACCUGUAACCGGUACGGGCUCUGAGAGGAGGAGCCCGGAGAUGGGUACUGAGAAAAGGACCCAGGCCCUAUGGGGCGCAGCAGGCGCGAAACCUCUGCAAUAGGCGAAAGCCUGACAGGGUUAUUCUGAGUGACUUUCGCUAAGAAAGUCUUUUGACAUCUCUAAAAAUGGUGUAGAAUAAGGGGUGGGCAAGUCUGGUGUCAGCCGCCGCGGUAAUACCAGCACCCCGAGUGGUCGGGACGAUUAUUGGGCCUAAAGCAUCCGUAGCCGGUUUUACAAGUCCUCCGUUAAAUCCAACUGCUUAACAGAUGGGCCGCGGAGGAUACUAUAAGACUAGGAGGCAGGAGAGGCAAGCGGUACUCAGUGGGUAGGGGUAAAAUCCGUUGAUCCAUUGAAGACCACCAGUGGCGAAGGCGGCUUGCCAGAAUGCGCUCGACGGUGAGGGAUGAAAGCUGGGGGAGCAAACCGGAUUAGAUACCCGGGUAGUCCCAGCUGUAAACGAUGCAGACUCGGUGAUGGACUAG